RNAcentral lists this transfer RNA (97 nucleotides) under Mycobacterium innocens. RNAcentral's name for it is "Mycobacterium sp. MK13 tRNA-Arg". The record is from RNAcentral. Lineage: Bacteria; Bacillati; Actinomycetota; Actinomycetes; Mycobacteriales; Mycobacteriaceae.
UCGGCGACUUGCUUGGCCUCACCGAGCCGCGGGUUCUCCCCGCGUUGAUAUCUCUUGAUGGAUCGCACGCUGGUGAUCGUGUUUCCACUCGCCGAUC